This 425-nucleotide ribosomal RNA is filed under the name uncultured bacterium. Its description in RNAcentral is "partial 16S ribosomal RNA". It matches the Rfam family "Bacterial small subunit ribosomal RNA", at positions 354 to 796 of the family's 1533-position model. The record is from RNAcentral.
GUGGGGAAUAUUGGACAAUGGGGGCAACCCUGAUCCAGCCAUGCCGCGUGAAUGAUGAAGGCCUUCGGGUUGUAAAGUUCUUUUGGAGGGGACGAUGAUGACGGUACCCUCAGAAUAAGCUCCGGCUAACUUCGUGCCAGCAGCCGCGGUAAUACGAAGGGAGCUAGCGUUGUUCGGAAUUACUGGGCGUAAAGGGCGCGUAGGCGGUUUGGUUAGUCAGAUGUGAAAGCCCAGGGCUUAACCCUGGAACUGCGUUUGAUACUGCCAAGCUUGAAUUCGGGAGAGGUGAGUGGAAUUCCCAGUGUAGAGGUGAAAGUCGUAGAUAUUGGGAAGAACACCGGUGGCGAAGGCGGCUCACUGGACCGACAUUGACGCUGAGGCGCGAAAGCGUGGGGAGCAAACAGGAUUAGAAACCCGUGUAGUCC